UGGGGAAUAUUGGGCAAUGGAGGCAACUCUGACCCAGCAAUGCCGCGUGAAUGAAGAAGGUCUUCGGAUUGUAAAGUUCUUUAAUCAGGGACGAAGAAAAUGACGGUACCUGAGGAAUAAGCCACGGCAAACUAUGUGCCAGCAGCCGCGGUAAUACAUAGGUGGCAAGCGUUGUCCGGAAUGACUGGGCGUAAAGGGAGCGUAGGCGGUCUGUUAAGUUGGGAGUGAAAUCCCGGGGCUCAACCCCGGAACUGCUUUCAAGACUGACGGACUUGAGUGUAAGAGGGGGAAGCGGAAUUCCUAGUGUAGCGGUGGAAUGCGUAGAUAUUAGGAGGAACACCAGUGGCGAAGGCGGCUUUCUGGAUUACAACUGACGCUGAGGCUCGAAAGCGUGGGUAGCAAACAGG
RNAcentral lists this ribosomal RNA (407 nucleotides) under uncultured bacterium. Its description in RNAcentral is "bacterial SSU rRNA". It matches the Rfam family "Bacterial small subunit ribosomal RNA", at positions 355 to 776 of the family's 1533-position model. The record is from RNAcentral.